AGGAACAGAGAGAAUGCUGAUUUGUUAUGAGAAGACAAUUUAUCUUAUUUUCAGCACAAUGUUGAUGUACAUGGAGUAGCAAAGACUUCGUUCCUUGAUUCGGAUUACGACAAGCUAGUUUGGUAUGUGCUAAAAAAUUGCGAAGAGGUUGAGCCAUAUAUCGGGCACGUAAUCCAUCAUGCAAUUAUUUCAGUCAAAUUUUCAUAUGGAUAUGUUUUUGAAGGACCGGAAAGGUGACCAUAGGGGGGUGAAUGGGAACCGAUUCAAAUUUUCUCCAAGAACUUUGGCUAAAAACCCACAAGCCUCUCUUCUAGCAAAAUCAAGUCCACUUAGCUAUGCACAAGCUAAUGGACCUACGAAUGAUGCUAGGAACCCAAUUUAAGAAUAGCGGAAGCAAGAAAGACUCCAAACAAGCUCCGGAAGACAAACUUUGAAAACCAACACCUCUGUGUGGAAAAAUCCGGAGGAAGCUUCAGAAAAUUAUGGACAUGCAGAAAUUUCCGGAGAAACCUUCGGAAAUUUCCGGAGGUCCGGAGAUUUCUGGAAUUCCAAAACAGCCUGCGCGAAGAUGGUAGAAAAAUCCAAAACGGGUCAAACGACCUCCAAAAAUCACGAAAUUUGAACCAUAGCUUCACAACAUAGUAAAGAAGCUUAUCCUAAGAAAUCAUUCCCAAAAUAUUUGCUAAUCAAGGGGAAUUUCAAAUCUUGUGAAGAACUCUAUUUUCUC
This 727-nucleotide long non-coding RNA is filed under the name Setaria viridis. RNAcentral describes it as "long non-coding RNA (SVIR_LNC008001)". The record is from RNAcentral. Lineage: Eukaryota; Viridiplantae; Streptophyta; Magnoliopsida; Poales; Poaceae.